AUAAUUUCUCAAUAUUGGGCCUUAUUGGGUAUUUGCUUGGGCUAUAUUUUUUUAACUGAAGCCCAUAACACAUUUAGGACUUGUUGCAGUAAUUAUUUUUGCUAGCAGUAACGUGUAUCCUUCUUUUGCCAUAACUUUUGAAUUUAUUUUCAGCCAUUCAUUUUAUUUCUAAAAUCUUGACAAACAUUACAGCUAGCCAAAUUUGAUUUCUUUCUGUAAGAUUUGAUUUUUUUUCCACAGCAGCAAACUUUGAAGCAGCAAACUUUGAUUGAUCUCCUUCACACGUUCAUGUUCAAAUCUUUGACGAACAAGUCAAUUCAAUCUAUUUAAACCUCAUUGUAUCAUCCUCAAAUUCACAAAUCAACAAAACAAAUUCAGUCUUUUAAGAUUCAUCCUGUUUCCUUCCCACUGCCGAAUCUCCAUCGGUGCGGCGCGACUAGGAUGUGAACUUUAAAUUCUUGCAGUUAAUUUUCAAAGCUCAAAAGUUCAAGUUUCAGGUGUGGGAUUUAUUUCAGUACAUGCACGUGGUUAAUAUUUGUCCAUUUUAAUAUUAUGUGUUUACCGUAUGUGUUGUAAAAAUAUUUAUCGCUAGGGGCCAGCAUAAUUGGUCCAGGACUUCACCGUCCUUGGUAUGCCACAAUGCGAUUUCAUGUUACAGGGUUGCAACCAUUAUAUUGUCGCCAGGGGCCCACAUAUAGGGUCCGGGACAUUAAAGUCCUUGGAUUGCCACAGUGCGUAUGGAAGUUAUGUUACGUUAUGACAAUAUGUGUUACCAUUUUAUUAACAUGGACAAUUAUUGCAUGUUCCCACACUGAGUGUACCCUGUAUGCUCAUCCCAUAUUCAACAGUUUCAGGUGAUUGAUAUCGGAGGCGCGUGGAGAGUCGAAUGGGCGCGUCGAAUCUAUUUAAAGAUAAAUGUUUCCUAAAACAUAUUAUGUUAUUUCAUGUGAUAUCUCUUGAUUAUGUAAACUCUGAAAUUCUAUACUAUUUGAGAUUUGUGUGUGAUUUGUUUAAAUAAAUGUUAUCAUAUUAUU
Long non-coding RNA from Salvia miltiorrhiza (redroot sage), 1034 nucleotides. RefSeq lists it as uncharacterized. The record is from RefSeq and is a predicted model, not a curated record. The transcript is spliced from 2 exons. Lineage: Eukaryota; Viridiplantae; Streptophyta; Magnoliopsida; Lamiales; Lamiaceae.